GACGAACGCUGCGGCGGGCCUAAACCCAGCAAGGCGAACGGAAAGGCCCUGCUUUUGUGGGGUGCUCGAGUGGCGAACGGGUGAGGAACACGUGAGUAACCUGCCCUUGACUUUGGGAUAACUUCAGGAAACUGGGGCUAAUACCGGAUAGGAGCUCCUGCUGCAUGGUGGGGGUUGGAAAGUUUCGGCGGUUGGGGAUGGACUCGCGGCUUAUCAGCUUGUUGGAGGGGUAGUGGCUUACCAAGGCUUUGACGGGUAGCCGGCCUGAGAGGGUGACCGGCCACAUUGGGCCUGAGAUACGGCCCAGCCUCCUACGGGAGGCAGCAGUGGGGAAUAUUGCACAAUGGGCGGAAGCCUGAUGCAGCAACGCCGCGUGCGGGAUGACGGCCUUCGGGUUGUAAACCGCUUUCGCCUGUGACGAAGCGUGAGUGACGGUAAUGGGUAAAGAAGCACCGGCUAACUACGUG
RNAcentral lists this ribosomal RNA (467 nucleotides) under uncultured bacterium. Its description in RNAcentral is "partial 16S ribosomal RNA". It matches the Rfam family "Bacterial small subunit ribosomal RNA", at positions 28 to 507 of the family's 1533-position model. The record is from RNAcentral.